GGGUGGGGGUGACUUAACUGGUAAGCUCUGGCUGAGCAAGCCUGAAGACCUGAGUUUCAUCUCCAGAACAUUCUUUUCAAAACCAGGCAUCGUGGCUGCACUUGUAACCCUGACACUGAGGAGACAGACAGGUGAAUGAAUGCCUGCAGCCCCUUGCCAGCCAGCCUUCUCUGACUGAUGAUUCCCAGGUCUCAGUGGGAGACAGUCUCAGAGAAACAAAAUGAACAAGACUUGAGGAACAACACCUGAGGAUGACCUCUGGCCUCUGCACACAUGUGUAUAUAUGUACACCUGAACCCUCACACACAAGAACACACACAUACAUCUACCUCUACACAUAAAAACACACGUACAAAAAAUGCAUAAUUUACAAGACUGUUAAGUACUUUGCCAACUCAAAAGCAUUCUACUAAUGAUAGAUAUUAACAUCAACAACGGCAAAUAGAGGGAAACACCGCAGAGCAGACAAUAAGGACUGGGAAGUGAUGUACCACUGGGCUUCACAUCACUUGAGGCUUCAAAGGGCCAUAGGACUCCUUGAAGACUCUGCUUAGGGUCAUGUAAAGUGAAGAGAAUUGGGCUCCAUGGAAUUUUAUGGGGACCAAAUGAAAUUACAUAGUUAAAAAAAGUGGAAUCAAAUAAGUAAAGUGAAACAAAAUUCUAUUGACCUAGUAAUUGCUCGGUGAAUACUUGGUGUUGUUGUAUGCUUUAUUAACUUCUGUUUUGUACACUUUCUCUUCACCAAAAGGAACCAUCCUAAGGUUUCUAAUCUUCAGUAAGUAGCACUUCCAUCCUCAGCUUCUCUGGAUGCUUUUUUGAUAUUCUUAAUACUUUUUAGAGACCUAUUUAUAGAAAGCAAUCUCCACAAUAAUUCCAUUCAAAAGGUCAAGCAGAUGAUGCGUAUUUAAUGGUUGACCAAAACAUUCAAUUUUUUUUUUAGAUCUCACCAGAAAUUCCACUGACCUUGCCUUCAUUAAUCUUUGUCUUUCUAAAGCUCAUCUCUUGAGCAUUCUCCUAAUCUAGUCAUAGCCGCUAGAAAUGACUUACUGUGUAGCAGACCCUGUCCUAAGCAUUUUGCUGAUAGUCACUUUUAAUUCCCUUGGCAACCAUGGGCAGUAAGUAUACUACUAACCUCACCAUGCAUGGGAAAACUGAAAAUCAAGGAGUUACAUAACUAAACCAAGAUUGUGAUACUAGGAAGUUGCUAGCUGAAGAUAUGAACUCAAGCCAUGUGGUUCAAGGCCCUGAGAUCUUAACCACCACACUAACCUUCUUACUACAAUCCUUAGCUCCUUUAAGACCUUCUAGCAGCUUGCCUCUCUUUGUGACUGGAGUUACUGGAAACCCAUCAGGUCUACACUUCACACAUUAUAGACGGAACUGCAGAGUACAGCUGGAUCCAACAGACUUACCACAGCCGGUCAUUGAAAUCAAUACAAUUGGACUCUCUCUCACAUGAUGCUCAAUUGUGAUUCUCAUCAUUGAGACUGACAAGAAGGGUCUAGCCAGACGGCAUCAUGCAUAAAACUGCCUGCCACCAAAUCUGACGACUUGAGUUUGAUCCUUGGGAUGCACAUUGUGAAAGGUGAAUGGAGAGAACCAAUUCCCGUACCUGCUCUUAUCUUAAAUGGCCCCACCAGAGCCAAGUCCCAGGAGUGUGAUUGUCAGCCUGUGACACUGUGAGGAGCUGGUGAGGACUUUCAGAGCUUGGGCCUGGUGGAAAAGAAGUUAGAUCAACAGGGCAGGGCCCUGGAAAGGAUAUUGGGACAUGAAUUGCUCUGUCCCUCCUUUCCUCUUGUGUUCUGACCACCGUGAGCUCUGUACCUAGCCAAAGACUGGGAAUCCCUCUAAUAAAUGGCAGCCGUACGUGUAGGAGGCCUGGCAUGAGAUUCCUAUCAGCCUACCCUCCCCACAUUGACUGCUCCAAGAUGGUCCCAGAAUCCUUGAAGGACAAGGAUUCUGCCUCAAACAUCCUCAGCUGGAGAGAGCAGAGACUCCUCUGGCAUCCACUCUGUGUCCAAAUGUACACCCAACCCAGGACCUUCAGAGACAACCCCAAGCUGAUCUGGAUUCCUGGACACCAGCCUUUUGACUCUAUCCUGCCCUCAGUGUUCACACAAGAGACCUACAUUCACUAGGUGCAGGGAAUCAAACAAGGGAGUCACAUAACCUCAGCAGACCUCCGAAGCUGAAGUCCGCCAGAGCUCCACCCACACACUGCACACUGAAGAUCCUUUUCUCCUGUGACAUUCAGCAUUAGCCCCUGGCCCUUGAGUGGCAUUGGUGUGUGAUGGUGGUGCAGAUCCUGAGACACGCAGAGAGAUGGACAAGAGUUCCUCGUCCAUCCGGACAUCUCCUUUGUCUCUCUCCUCUUGCCACCUGGAUCUGGGGUCUCAGCUCUUUGCCUGGAACCGUGUACAUUUAAUGACCAAAUGAAAUCCAGGGCUGACUUGUAAGUCAGAAAACUGAAGAGUUUGAGAAAGGACGCUGCUUUGUGCCGCUGUCCAGAGUUCCUUGAAAAUGGGCCAUACAGGAGAGGAACAAUUCUUCAUUCAUCAUUGAUUUGGAAACAAACAGGUCUCCUGUC
Peromyscus californicus insignis is the source of this 2587-nucleotide long non-coding RNA. RefSeq lists it as uncharacterized. The transcript is spliced from 6 exons. NCBI's taxonomy places the organism in Eukaryota, Metazoa, Chordata, Mammalia, Rodentia, Cricetidae. The record is from RefSeq and is a predicted model, not a curated record.